AAAAUAUAAUAUAUAAUUUUAUUAUAUGAAAAUAAAUUAAUCACAAAAGAACAAAUAUUUGGACAUCUUCUUGUCCCCAAUAACGAAUAAGUACCUCCCACUGAUCAGCUUUCACAUGCUGAGGAGAUCUAGAGAUAAGAUUUUCUUCCCUCUGGUACUCAUCAUGGUAAUGAUGCUUGAUAUAAGACUUUCAAUUCCUCCACAUCUCACCAAC
This 214-nucleotide long non-coding RNA is filed under the name Elaeis guineensis (African oil palm). RNAcentral describes it as "long non-coding RNA (EGUI_LNC004184)". Lineage: Eukaryota; Viridiplantae; Streptophyta; Magnoliopsida; Arecales; Arecaceae. The record is from RNAcentral.